UCCCACAUGGGAACACACACACACACAAGAUACCCACAUCAAGCCACACCCGAAUUCAGUCAUGGCCGCUAGCAUUUUAUCAGAACUCAGGAAAAGACCCAGAUGCCGACAGCUAGAAUCAGAUGUUUAUUGACCCAAAUGGGGCAGGCAAAAGACAGGUGAAGGGCAGGCAGAGGUAGGUAAUCCAGGGCAGAGUCAAUAAGGUACAAAACAGCAGGGAGGCUCGGGGUCAGGGCAGGCAGAGGUUCGUAAUCCAGGGCAGAGUCAAUAAGGUACAGAACAGCAGGCAGGCUCGGGGUCAGGGCAGGCAGAGGUUCGUAAUCCAGGGCAGAGUCAAUAAGGUACAGAACAGCAGGCAGGCUCGGGGUCAGGGCAGGCAGAGGUUCGUAAUCCAUGGCAGAGUCAGGCAAGUAUAGAAUGGCAGGCAGGCAGAAUGUUCAGAACCGGGGAAACUAGGAAACAGAAACUUGAGAAAGCAGGAAGACGGGAAAGCACGCUGGUAAGACCUGACAAGACGAACUGGUAACAGACAACAAAGAACAAAGGUAUAAAUACACAGGGGAUAAUGGGGAAGAUGGGUGGAGAAAAGCACAACGACAGGUGAAACCGAUCAGGGUGUGCCACCUUUCUUAAUUAACCAGAUCUAAAACAAGGCCAAAGCAGGAAGUACAGUCGCCCUUUAAAACAAACUAAUGACAUGUUGCACCUCUACCUUGCUACCUUUCAGAUUAGCCAAGGAGGAGGACCGAUGAUAACAG
Molecule: long non-coding RNA, 758 nt
Filed under: Salmo salar (Atlantic salmon)
Lineage: Eukaryota; Metazoa; Chordata; Actinopteri; Salmoniformes; Salmonidae
Description: lncRNA (ENSSSAG00000105923.1)
Source: RNAcentral